Molecule: ribosomal RNA, 253 nt
Filed under: uncultured bacterium
Lineage: Bacteria
Description: partial 16S ribosomal RNA
Rfam family: Bacterial small subunit ribosomal RNA
Source: RNAcentral
UACGUAGGUGGCAAGCGUUGUCCGGAUUUAUUGGGUUUAAAGGGUGCGUAGGCGGCUUAUUAAGUCAGUGGUGAAAGCCCGAAGCUUAACUUCGGAAUUGCCAUUGAUACUGAUGAGCUUGAGUAGAUUUGAAGUGGGCGGAAUGUGUUGUGUAGCGGUGAAAUGCUUAGAUAUGACACAGAACACCAAUUGCGUAGGCAGCUCACUAAACUCUCACUGACGCUGAGGCACGAAAGCGUGGGGAUCAAACAGG